Molecule: long non-coding RNA, 2708 nt
Organism: Homo sapiens (human)
Lineage: Eukaryota; Metazoa; Chordata; Mammalia; Primates; Hominidae
Gene: SBF2-AS1
Product: SBF2 antisense RNA 1
Exons: 3
Source: RefSeq, marked validated
CAGGUUCCAGCCCCGACCCGGGCGCGCGGGGCCGACUAGGGUCGGGUCCAGUGUGCGGUGGUCGCUCCGCUCCGGGCCGCUCCGCUCUGGGCGUCAGGGCGCGGGGAGCUGCCCCGGGGUUCUGUCCACCGGGGAGGAAAGCCACGAGCACUGAGCGCCUCCUGAGAGCCAGCCCUGACGUGAACUCAUUUUAUCUGCCACGACCCAGAAGGAGUCUACUGCUAAGAUUUCAGCAUGUCCUGUGGCUGAGUUAAUCAGAGUUAUGACAGGAAGGUACCGGGCACACCAUCGCAAUGCUCCAUCAAUGCUAGUAUGUUGUGUUCUUUCCUUCAUAUCAAGUCAACUCAAGCUUGCUCUACUUACCUGGUGUACACAGUCUAAGAACUGUAAGAAGACUGGAGCAAAACCACUCCCCUGACAGUUGAGGGUCAAGCUGCUCCUCUGACUGAAUUUGUGACCAAAAGAGAGCCACUCUUUUUCAACCAACAUCUGGAAGCCUUCAAGUGUCCUAUAAAAGGGAUCACUGAGUAACUGAACCAGGGAUGUCACCUAGGGCAUAAGCAGGAUGGAUUGUCAUUAAUUUUAGUUCUGAAAAAGGCCUAUUACUAAGAUAAAAGCACUUCCUUCUGAUGAUAGCUAAUUCACAAAUUUACCUGGACAGCAAAUUUGUUCACUAACCAUUCCAGGAUGGCCAAUAAAAUUAAUUUUGUAAACUUGCCAGUAAAAACUAAAGCUCAAAUUCAUUUUGGCUACAAGUUUACUUUCAGGGAAUUGAGACUUUAAUCCUUAACUGGCCAGUUUGCUGACAGCAACCUUUUCCUAAGUUAAUCAGAGGCCAGAGGAUCAGUUAAAAUCAAUUCUACUUUUUGGCAGAUGCAGAUUAAUGUCUUAAUGUAGUCUGAACUCACACUUUUCACUCUGGAGUGAGUUAAGGCGGGGCUUAUAGAGAGCCAGGGGAUGGACUGACAAAACCCAGGAAGGAUGGUCCACGCCUCACACUGCUGGUCAAGGGCUCCAUCCGCAAGCCUGCAUGGUACAUCUGUGGAUGGGAGAGCUUGAUGCCCGGAGCCAGAGCUCCAGGCUGCGUAGGGGCUAAGAGCUCAUGGUACGGAGUUUUCUGAUGGAUACCAGGUGCUGUUUAACACAGGACUUUCUCUGUCCAUAAACACAUUAGUCAUUAUACAAAAGAGUCAUCUGAAGAAUUUAAAAAUGACCAAAUGGAAAUAUAAAUAUAAAAUAUCAAAAAAUAUGUCUAAUAGUUUACUUGUGCAGUGAUGUCCCAGCCUUCCUCCAAACAGACCAAAACUGAGGAACCAUUCUCAAGUACUUCUGAUACAACCACAGCCAGCUGCAUUAUCCUGUGAAGCUAAGAGACAGGAAGGAGAACACAAUUAGACCAAGCGCUUUCUGAGUGCAGAAGUCAGAGAGAGUUGCUUUCAACCCUGGAUAAUCAAACGACUUAGGGAUAAAGCGCUUGCACAAAAGAACCACAUAAUGUUUUAAAUACCUAAAGUUCUUUCAAAUCAAGAUUAAACAAUGACACUUUUGACUGGAUGCAAUGACUCAUGCCCAUAAUCCCAGCACUUUGGGAGGCCGAGCCGGGCAGGUCAUUUGAGGUUCGGAGUUCGAGACCAGCCUGGGCAACAUAAGCAAGACCCUGUCUCGAAAAAUAAAAAUAAAAAAGAUACUCCUAUUUGUCUAUACUGUGUACUAAAUGAGAAAAAAACUUUCAAUAUAUUUGUGCUAAGUUUUUAAAGCCACAUCAAUUGGCUCAAAGUCCUUAAUAAACAAUUAAGGUAUGAGAAUAGUAUAUAGAUUUUAAAACCAGAUGUAUAACAUUGUAAUUUUAAAAAAUAUUUUAAUGAUCAUCAGACAUAAUUUGCAAUUUGAAUCCAACUCUGAACAAGAACAAAAAUGAAAAAACCCAUCUCUUAAACAGAGCUAGGCUACUUUAAACACAGGAAUAAGGCAAAUGCCCUACUCAGUAAUGAGAAGCUCCUCAUGUAACUGUUUCUACAACAUAGCUAUCACCAGGCCUGAAUUCUUUUGGGCUCAGAAUUUGUUCUAAGAAAUGGCUAUUAUUAAAAAGUCAAAAAAUAACAGAUGCUGGCGAGCCUGUGGAGAAAAGGGAAUGUAUAUACAUUUCUGGUGGGAAUGUAAAUUAGUUCAGCCAUUGUAGAAAGUAGUUUGGUGAUUUCUCAAAUAACUUAAAACAGAAUUACCAUUUGACCUAGCAAUCCCAUUACUGAGUAUAUACCCAAAGGAAUAUAAAUUGUUCUACCAUAAAGUCACAUGCACACACAUGUUCAGUGCUGUACUAUUCACAAUAGCAAAGACAUGGAGUCAACCUAUAUGCCCAUCAACGGUAGACUGGAUAAAGAAAAUAUGGUACAUAUACACCAUGGAAUACUACACAGCCAUAAAAAGAAUGAGCUUAUGUCCUUUGCAGUAACACAGCUGAAGCAAACUAACACAGGAAUGGAAAACCAAAUACUGCAUAUUCUCACUUAUAAGUGGGAGCUAAACAUUGAGUACACAUGGACACAAAGAAAGGAAUAGACGCCUGGGGCGUAUUUGAGGUUGGAGGUGAGAGGAGGGUGAGGAUAGAAAAACUACCUAUCAGGUACUAUGCUUAUUACCUGGGUGAUGAAAUAAUCUGUACACCAAACUCCCAAGAUAUGCAAUGUACCUAUACAACAAACCUACAU